Argentina anserina (silverweed cinquefoil) is the source of this 2097-nucleotide RNA transcript. It is a transcript of the gene named pentatricopeptide repeat-containing protein At1g11900, with no coding region annotated. Lineage: Eukaryota; Viridiplantae; Streptophyta; Magnoliopsida; Rosales; Rosaceae. The record is from RefSeq and is a predicted model, not a curated record. The transcript is spliced from 4 exons.
CUCAUAAACCUUCUCUGCACUCAUAAAACCCAGAGACAAUGCUGUCCGCCUCCUCAAGGCUUUUCCGAUCCCACAUAGCAGUAUCGCUAUUCAUUCCCACUCUCUCUUCCGACCCUUUCCCGAUUCGGAUUCAGAAAUGUCACUCAACUACAUCGAUCAACAACACCCACUCCUACUCUUCCGAAUCACAACAACAAACACUCGUGACUCAACUCCUCUCCACCAUCGAAAACGCCCCCACAUUACUCCAAUCCCUACACGACCAACACAUCUUCCUAAACCCAAAAUCUCUCAACCAAGUUUUAAUCUCCGCCGCUCAAAGCAACCACCUUUACCUCGUACCCCGAAUCUUCAAACUCGCAGUUGCUUCCAAAACACAGCCUUUAAACUCAAACUCCUAUCUCACUGUCGCCAAAGCCUUCGCAAAAAAAGCACAUGACUGUGUUCCUGAGCUUCUCAGCUUCACCGACCAAAUAUUGGAACUGACCCAACCCAGCAUGACAGUGAUCAACAGACUCCUCUUCGCAUUUGGUCAAUGCAAGGAGACUGAAGCUGCAAUUUCGAUCUUUACCCAUGUCAAAGAUCAAAACUUUUCACCGGACUUGUACACAUACAACACUGCUUUCGAGAUAUUGGGCCGGGCGGGUCGUACAGGUGAGAUGGUGGGUCUCUUUGGGGAGAUGAAGCAAGCUGGGAUUGACCCGGAUUUGGUUUCGUACAAUACGGUGAUAAACCAUGUGAGGAAGUUUGGGGAAGUUGAUAUGUGCUUGUUUUAUUUCAAGGAAAUGUGUGAAAUGGGUGUGCAGCCUGAUUUGCUUACUUACAGUGCAGUCAUUGAUGGGUUGGGGAGGUCAGGAAACAUUGAGGAGUCGUUGAGGUUGUUUGCUGAGAUGAAGGAGAGGCGGAUUCAGCCUUCGUUGUAUCUAUAUAGGGCAGUGAUUAGUAAUUUGAAGAAGAUGGGGAAGGUGGAGAUGGCAUUGAGUAUUAUGGAGGAGAUGAAUUCAUGUGCCUCAAGUAUUGCUUGUUCUGGAAGAAAUAAGCGCCAGUAGAAUUGAUGUCAUUUGGAUGCUUUGAGUUUUAUGGAGGAGAUGAAGUCAUGUGCCUCAAGUAAUGCUUGUCCUGGAAGGAAUACGCACCAGUAGAAUUGGGCGUGCCCCGAUACCAGUUGCCCAGAGACACAUCCCAUAUGGUGUAGAUGAAACCUGCCCAGUUGCUCUUUCUUUAGUGGAGAUUUCCUUGGCAGUUACCUGGGAACCUGUUUUAACUGCAAUACCAUCUCUGGAGAAUUUUUCUUCAGCAAAUUUAGUAAUUCUUGUGUCAAACCUGUAAGAUCAAACCAAGAAUAUUAUACAACACUUGACUGAUAUCUUCAUUGAAAUACCGUAAAUUACAGAAAUGUAUAUGCCUUACUCACAUGUUCAAGAUAUGAUCACCUGCUUCAAGUAAAUUAAUAGAUACAUCAUCUUUAACAGAAGGGUACAGAGUGGCCAAAUCCACAUUUACAAAGUCAUGAAGCUCUGCAGCAAGCUCCACACCUGCUGGACCGCCACCAACAACUACAAAGUGCAAAAUUUUCUUCCUUUCUUCUUCACUAAUGCAUGGCAGACUUGCCCUUUCAAAGCAGUCAUUACAGACUGACGAAUCUUCAGAGCAUCUCCUACUCCCUGGGCCAAUGAAAACCCAAACAGCUCAUUGUUCUUCACCUUGUGACAUCAUAGUUUGUGGUGUCAUCUUAAUUCUAAGUGCUAUAGUAAAAGAAGUAUGGAGUUUAUACCCUUCAAGAAAUGAGUGUGCUCUUCAACACCAGGAGUGUUGAAUGUGUUAGCUUUUGCUCCCAUGGCUAUGAUCAGGUAAUAAGUACCUUCUUAGUAAUGGAGCGAAUUGGUUCGACAAUGCUGUGUGGUUCCACUGUGCCACAAGUAAUACUCGGCAGCAGAGGAGUGAACAAAAAAGUAAUUAUGGGGGGACUCCACUUCAACAUCAUAUGAGGAACUCUUCAAAUUCUUCAAGAAACUGACGCCAGCCCAACCAGUUCCAAGUACCACGACCUUCUUUUUCUUUGGUUCGCCCUCAGAUUGAGCUGCUUAAGCAUACACA